RNAcentral lists this unclassified non-coding RNA (1176 nucleotides) under Archibaccharis asperifolia. RNAcentral's name for it is "external transcribed spacer". Lineage: Eukaryota; Viridiplantae; Streptophyta; Magnoliopsida; Asterales; Asteraceae. The record is from RNAcentral.
AUGUGAGAGCUGGUGAGCAUUGGGGCAACGUUUUGAGUUGGCCUUUGUGCUGACUUAUGGUGUCUUUUGGCUUGAUGUUGAAGGCCUCGUAAGCUUCCUCCCGAGUGGGGACUUCGAUUUGGUGAUGCCAUAUCGGGGUAACUGCGACAACGUCUUGAUCUAGAUCAAGGCGGGGAUCGUGUUUUACAUAAUCCUCCUAGGAUGGUGCGGAAAGCUGGAUGGCAAAUGGGCAAGGCAUGUUGCAAUCUUUUUAUAAGAUUCAUGUGUGUCUUUUGCCCAACCGUCAAAAGGUGAUCUUAGGCUGCCAUUCGAGUGGUACCUGAUUUUAUUUGUGGUGAGGCCACAUCGGGAAAACUGCAAAAACGUGAUGAUCUACUCGUUUGUUGAUGCAAUCUUGUCGAAAGGCUAGUUGAUUGUUGAGAGCGUCUUUAGAUCAGAUCGGUGAUGGUUAUUACUUGAUUAUGAUCAUGCUAGCCAUGAUCAACCUAGGAUCGCUAACUGCUGUAUGGCUUGGAUGAGGGUAAGAGACUCAACGUGUGGCCUUUUGUAGGAUUGACGUGUGUCUCUUUUCUGACCAUCAUACAGCGAUCGUAAGACGCAUUCUGGGUGGAGAGUUUUGUUCAAAUUGGUUCUCUUUUCGUAUCGUGCGGUACAUUUUGGGGUUGUAUUUGGGUUUUGGUUGUUUGCUUGGCUCUUUAGUCUUGCAGGUGGCUGUUUCCCAUGGUGGCUUCGGGAAUGUCUAUCGUAAAGGUGCAUGAGUGGUGUUUGGUUUGAUACGGGUGGUUGGCUCCCUGCUUGAGCAGGCACGGCCACACGUACAUUCCUUUUCAGUUGUGCGGCAAGGCUUGUGUUGUCUUGAUCGUAUAUGUGGGUUUCCUGUGUUGCAUACCUGAUCAAUGGCAUCGUUUUGAUCAAAAACAUACCUUUUUCGUCARGCGUUGCACCYGCAACGUCAGAUGAACCACGUAGCAUCCUCUUUGAUCCAUAUAGUCGAUGAGCAUUCGUUGAUUGUUUGGCCCGUUGAGGGUGGCUUGGUCUCUUGGAUAUGGAAGCCAAAGUGGGCAUGGGUUCGUAUGAUCCUUUUAUUGCCCUUGUUGAGCGUUCUCGCUUCUCUUGAACGACCGCCUCUCACGUAUGGCACGUCCCAGCGUGUUUGGCUAUGUCGUAGAGGAAUGC